GCCUGGAUAGCUCAGUUGGUUAGAGCGUGGUGCUGAGAACAGCGAGGUUGCGGGUUCGAUCCCUUGCAGAUU
Molecule: non-coding RNA, 72 nt
Organism: Podarcis lilfordi (Lilford's wall lizard)
Lineage: Eukaryota; Metazoa; Chordata; Lepidosauria; Squamata; Lacertidae
Source: the annotation of a GenBank genome assembly